GUAGGGAAUAUUGGACAAUGGGCGAAAGCCUGAUCCAGCCAUGCCGCGUGAGUGAUGAAGGCCUUAGGGUUGUAAAGCUCUUUCGGCGGGGACGAUAAUGACGGUACCCGCAGAAGAAGCCCCGGCUAACUUCGUGCCAGCAGCCGCGGUAAUACGAAGGGGGCUAGCGUUGUUCGGAAUCACUGGGCGUAAAGCGCAUGCAGGCGGAUCGCUAAGUCGGGGGUGAAAGCCCGAGGCUCAACCUCGGAACUGCCUUCGAUACUGACGAUCUUGAGUCCGGGAGAGGUGAGUGGAACUGCGAGUGUAGAGGUGAAAUUCGUAGAUAUUCGCAAGAACACCAGUGGCGAAGGCGGCUCACUGGCCCGGUACUGACGCUGAGAUGCGAAAGCGUGGGGAGCAAACAGGAUUAGAUACCCUAGUAGUCC
RNAcentral lists this ribosomal RNA (425 nucleotides) under uncultured bacterium. Its description in RNAcentral is "bacterial SSU rRNA". It matches the Rfam family "Bacterial small subunit ribosomal RNA", at positions 354 to 796 of the family's 1533-position model. The record is from RNAcentral.